This 491-nucleotide ribosomal RNA is filed under the name uncultured bacterium. RNAcentral's name for it is "partial 16S ribosomal RNA". It matches the Rfam family "Bacterial small subunit ribosomal RNA", at positions 29 to 506 of the family's 1533-position model. The record is from RNAcentral.
AGUGAACGCUGGCGGUAGGCCUAACACAUGCAAGUCGAACGGCAGCACAGUAAGAGCUUGCUCUUACGGGUGGCGAGUGGCGGACGGGUGAGGAAUACAUCGGAAUCUACUUUUUCGUGGGGGAUAACGUAGGGAAACUUACGCUAAUACCGCAUACGACCUACGGGUGAAAGCAGGGGAUCUUCGGACCUUGCGCGAUUGAAUGAGCCGAUGUCGGAUUAGCUAGUUGGCGGGGUAAAGGCCCACCAAGGCGACGAUCCGUAGCUGGUCUGAGAGGAUGAUCAGCCACACUGGAACUGAGACACGGUCCAGACUCCUACGGGAGGCAGCAGUGGGGAAUAUUGGACAAUGGGCGCAAGCCUGAUCCAGCCAUACCGCGUGGGUGAAGAAGGCCUUCUGGUUGUAAAGCCCUUUUGUUGAGAAAGAAAAGCAGCAGGUUAAUACCCCGCUGUUCUGACGGGACCCAAAGAAUAAGCACCGGCUAACUUCGU